This is a long non-coding RNA of Mus musculus (house mouse), 756 nucleotides long. RefSeq annotates it as predicted gene, 34762. Lineage: Eukaryota; Metazoa; Chordata; Mammalia; Rodentia; Muridae. The transcript has 3 exons. The record is from RefSeq and is a predicted model, not a curated record.
AGGCCCUGUUUUUAGGAGAACCCAAGAGAAAAAUGACAGGGAUCCGCUUUCUAAGAAACUGUGUGCUAUUCAGUGACUUCUUGUCAAGGUGGCAGUGUUCCAUAUCCUACUCUUGAGACUUUGUUCUUUCUUCAGCAAUGGAGUAUGAUGGUAGCCUCAUCAUGGGAGUCCCUCAUGAACACCGGAUGAGAUCAGAAGCCAGAGGUGUGGAAAGUGCAGUACAGUUUUCCCUGUGAAGUUGUCCCUUCCAGCCCUUCUGUUCUCCCUGCCCUGUCCUUGUGCAUGGCUCUGUUACUGCAGCACCCCCACUCCCACACUAUUGAAUUCCUGGUACUCUCAGAUUCUGUUCUCAUCCAUACCUCCCUCCACCUCCCUCUAACACCACCUCAGUGACAUUACAUGAAUAUACACAGAUGUGUAUAUACAACUUCUCUGAUGCCGACUCCUUCUAUCCUGAGCCUCAGUCCCACACUUGUGCACCCAGAGCCCCCAGUUCACUCCCACCUUUCCUGACUGAAGAAGUCCCAUUUGCACCAACCUCACAGCCUUCCUGGUAUUCCCAGAGCAUUCCAGGAAGUUCCUGCUCCAGGGCCUCUGCACAUGCCACAUGCCUCCUCCCCUCUCUGUCAGAUCUGUGUCCCAUGUCUACUGUUCCAGGGGACUUUUUUCAGUCAUCACGGCAGAGAUUGUCACUGCCCCUCCCAGCCUCCUCACUCUGUCUUUCAAUGUUUUAGUUCCACGUUCAUUUGCACAUUA